Molecule: long non-coding RNA, 700 nt
Organism: Dipodomys spectabilis (banner-tailed kangaroo rat)
Lineage: Eukaryota; Metazoa; Chordata; Mammalia; Rodentia; Heteromyidae
Exons: 3
Source: RefSeq, a predicted model, not a curated record
GCCUGCUCUGUCGAUCUCUCUGCGACAGGCCGGGCCGCCGCCAGUCAGCCUGGCAAAUGAAGGCCAUCUCCAAGUUUCUGACGCUCGCUCGCGUGCGAGGGAACAGAAGCUUCCAGAAUGAGAGGACCCAGUCGUGCGCCGCCGGGGGCUGUGGCUGGGGAGUGAGAGGCCCGGGGCGGAGUCCCAGCACCCCCGCUGCCACACCGUCACCGACAGGCUGGGCACGCCGGUGCCCCGGUUCUGAAGAGGGAUCCUGGCAGGCCUGGGCAACAGCCACAACAAAGACCAAUCUCCAGAAAACCACUGCAGAAAAACAACAACAAACGUCCAAUGGAGUUCAUCCGUGUACACUGGACAGGCAGAAUUCAUAGUUUCCCAGCAAGUCAUAAAAAGAUGAAACCAGCGUCCCCCGUGGGGCUUUGCAGUUAGACCCAGGGAUGGCUCCAGAGAUGUCUCUGAGGUGGAGGUACACCAGAUACAUUCCAGCCAGGAUGAACUUGCUCUUGUUUUCACCCCAAAAUAAACCCCCUCUUUCUGGCCCAAAUUGCGGGGAUCCACUGGUUUUGAAGCCAUGCAGGACUACACCGCCACCACAUUCCGCCACAAGGAACAUGGCUGUUGGCAGAUCUCCUGACCAGAAUUUGGGGUUUUCCCCACAAGAUUCCUGUAUGUUAACACUUAAAAGCAAAUAAAAAUCACU